UACGGAGGGUGCAAGCGUUGUCCGGAUUUAUUGGGUUUAAAGGGUGCGUAGGCGGCGCGCUAAGUCAGUGGUGAAAGCCUCCCGCUCAACGGGAGAACUGCCAUUGAUACUGGCGUGCUUGAGUACGGACGAGGUAGGCGGAAUUUAUGGUGUAGCGGUGAAAUGCAUAGAUACCAUAAAGAACACCGAUAGCGUAGGCAGCUUACUAGACCGUAACUGACGCUGAGGCACGAAAGCGUGGGGAGCGAACAGG
RNAcentral lists this ribosomal RNA (253 nucleotides) under uncultured bacterium. RNAcentral's name for it is "partial 16S ribosomal RNA". It matches the Rfam family "Bacterial small subunit ribosomal RNA", at positions 524 to 776 of the family's 1533-position model. The record is from RNAcentral.